AUGACUUUUUCCAAAGCAGGGCAGGAAUGUGGACAGGCAGGAGGAAGAGACAUAUGGAUCAAUCAUGCUGAGCCUCCUUUGGCUCGCCAGGAGGAGGUGCAAGAGACCAAGGGAAGGAGAGGAAGAGUUGUUCUAGCUAUUGGCCAAAGUAUUGCUUUGGCAGAACAAAUUUCCCGAGUAUUUCAGAUGCACAAAUUUUAUCUCUAUUCUCACAGCUUUAUCUAUUGCAUGCAGACUUUAAAGUUAAGACACUCAGCACCUCAAGCACUGGACCAUGGUUGUUAAGCUCAAGAAAGAGAAGUGAAGUUCGCACCUGUAUGAAAUCUUGCUGGGGAAAACCGAACAGCUAAAACUAUGGGCUCUACGAGACAAACAGCACCCACUUCCAUCACCCUUACUGCACAGGUUUAAAAAGCUCAUUAUCCUGUCUUGUUCCCUCUGACUUCAGUACUGUUCUGUUAAUUAAAAUCAUGAGAGAUUGCASGUUUAUAAUAUUGUAUUGUAUCAAUAUGUCAAUCUCAUAAAGCUGCUCCUUACUACCUUCAUCUAUUAUGACCCAUGUCUGAAAGAAAGCAGAUUGGAGAUCUCCUUUUAAUCUCUCUAAAGACUGAGUAUAUUGUGUCAGUUGGGAUAUUGGCUCUGACUCCUUGCUCCUAGAAAUUCUGUUUAUCAGUGGGGAGACUGCAAUGACUACUUUUCACCAAGGUGUUCAAAGCGAUAGGCUUGAGCUGAAUUCAUCCCUGGUAUUGGACAUACUGCCAGAGAGGUAAGGUAUAGUUUCUGAUGCAUUCAAGUGGCAAGGAAACCCAUAUAUCGUUCCCAGUCACUGCAGCUAUAUUUUACUUCUAUUCAUUAGAGUAUAGUAUCUAGCCGUACCCAUUGCUAAACAUAACUGCAUGAAGAAAGAUGGAUCCAGGACUCCAGGAUAUGUGUCCUAUCCACUAAAGCUCAUGUGGAUGUGUAACUCCUGUGUUUCUUAAGCAUGUUUUAGCACUAUAUUACAAAGCUUUUAGCUAAUGAGAAACUAGUUACCCCUGUACUUUUCAAAGUCUGCUAAGUCUAUCUAUUCCAGAGGACUGUAGAGGUGAGGGAAGAAGUAUGCCUGCUUAUAUGAUCAAUUCAAAGGGCAACUGUGACUCUAGCUCUUACAGAAAUCUUACAGAAAGGGAGGUGGCAGUGGUUUUGUAACAUCACCUGCUAAUCAUUGAGAUCCUGGAGCAAGCAAGAAUGUGUUGCUUUGAGUUUUCUUUAACUCUAAUUUUGUCUGAUAUUUGUAGAGGGCACAAAAAUGAAAAAGUAGA
RNAcentral lists this long non-coding RNA (1301 nucleotides) under Apteryx haastii (Great spotted kiwi). RNAcentral's name for it is "lncRNA (ENSAHAG00000001241.1)". The record is from RNAcentral. Lineage: Eukaryota; Metazoa; Chordata; Aves; Apterygiformes; Apterygidae.